AAGAUAUCUUUCCCAGAGUCUCCCAAACAUUCCUUCCAGGGAAACAAGCCAUGUAAAAAGAUCCGCCUGCGUCUUAGCUGUUAGGAGAAGCCAAGAGAAAGAUGGCGGACAGCCGCAGCAGCCACAGCUCCAGGUCAAUACAGCCUGUGCCUGUAUCAAUUAAGACCUUCAUCGAUCACCUCGAUCUACAUUAAGUCUAAAAAGUAUCUGGACCUUCCACCCAUUUCUCCUGGAUCUCCCCACUGAGACCAAGAAGAACAAGGCUAGUCUUUCGUAUGGAAUGAAUAUAAAACUUUCCAUCAAGUUGGUUGACUUCUUUGGGACACUCUCCAGCUGGUCAAUGUCCCUCUUAACCAGGGGCAAGAAGAAUUGAAAGCAAAUAGCUAGACAUGUGUGACAAGGGCAAGGUCCAUGGAGACCAUCACCUCGCUGGGCGUGGACUCUGGAUCUCUUAAUGGAGUCUAAUAGUGUGCUCUUUGGGGCUGCUAUGUUAGUAAUACACAUAUUGAGAUUGCCAUAAAAUUGCCAGCUCUUUUAAAGACAAAUUUCCAUCUGGCCAUUCUUACUCCCAUAUUAUACUUGGGAAGUUGGUUUUUGGAGCUAGAUUGUAAGAACUUACAUUUUUCCUAUUAAAUUUCAU
This 640-nucleotide long non-coding RNA is filed under the name Monodelphis domestica (gray short-tailed opossum). RNAcentral describes it as "lncRNA (ENSMODG00000037888.1)". The record is from RNAcentral. Lineage: Eukaryota; Metazoa; Chordata; Mammalia; Didelphimorphia; Didelphidae.